RNAcentral lists this long non-coding RNA (426 nucleotides) under Anser brachyrhynchus (Pink-footed goose). RNAcentral's name for it is "lncRNA (ENSABRG00000008636.1)". The record is from RNAcentral. Lineage: Eukaryota; Metazoa; Chordata; Aves; Anseriformes; Anatidae.
GUCUUUAAAUGGCUUGAAUAUUGCUCUUUGGAAGUCCAAGGUCCUGACUUUGCUCUUUGCCAGGCCCACAUUCCUUGAAAUCACAAACUCAACCAAGGUGUGGUCACUGCAGUUCAGAUUUCCUCCAGUCUUUACCUCUUUAAUGAGUUCAUCAACAGGUCAGAGUAUUGCAGUACCUUCUUUAAGCACAUAUUAAAAAAAAAUAAUAGAAUAUCAGAUCCAUUAAUAUGGGAUCUUUCAGAAAUAAGCAACAAUUUAUAUGCCAGUUUAUGUUAAUUGAUCUUCAACAAUGUCUGCUCUUAAGAACUACACCUAUCAGAUCAAAGAGAAAAAUGUAAGUAUUUCUUUAUUAUCGCUUAAUUUUCCCUGCUAUAUGCAUUUACUUUUUAGAAGAGGUUAUAAGUUUUCAUUAAUAUUUGAAAGUGC